This 429-nucleotide ribosomal RNA is filed under the name Gemmatimonadota bacterium. RNAcentral describes it as "Gemmatimonadetes bacterium partial 16S ribosomal RNA". It matches the Rfam family "Bacterial small subunit ribosomal RNA", at positions 355 to 776 of the family's 1533-position model. The record is from RNAcentral. Lineage: Bacteria; Pseudomonadati; Gemmatimonadota.
UAGGGAAUCUUCGGCAAUGGACGAAAGUCUGACCGAGCAACGCCGCGUGAGUGAAGAAGGUUUUCGGAUCGUAAAACUCUGUUGUUAGAGAAGAACAAGGACGUUAGUAACUGAACGUCCCCUGACGGUAUCUAACCAGAAAGCCACGGCUAACUACGUGCCAGCAGCCGCGGUAAUACGUAGGUGGCAAGCGUUGUCCGGAUUUAUUGGGCGUAAAGCGAGCGCAGGCGGUUUCUUAAGUCUGAUGUGAAAGCCCCCGGCUCAACCGGGGAGGGGCAUUGGAAUCUGGGAGAAUUGAGUGCAGAAGAGGAGAGUGGAAUUCCAUGUGUAGCGGUGAAAUGCGUAGAUAUAUGGAGGAACACCAGUGGCGAAGGCGGCUCUCUGGUCUGUAACUGACGCUGAGGCUAGAAAGCGUGGGGAGCAAACAGG